Anolis carolinensis (green anole) is the source of this 2873-nucleotide long non-coding RNA. The record is from Ensembl. NCBI's taxonomy places the organism in Eukaryota, Metazoa, Chordata, Lepidosauria, Squamata, Anolidae.
CUGGGCAUGUCUAGAGGAUUGCAACCAUGGUGCAGAGCAAAUCAAGGCUUAAUUAUGAACAACAGAAAGACCUGGCCAUGUUAAGCCUGAAGGAGAAAUUAAGUCUUGUGGAGGACUUCAUGGUGUACAAAUAUCUGGCAUAUGGAGCAAUUUAUUGAAAGUGUGGCUGUUUCCAAAGGCAGUUGCUAACCAAUGGCAAAGGACUGCUUAGCUAUUUCAAAAAAGGUUUUAACUGAGAUGCUUUGGUUCUCAUUUUAAAUCUGUUUUUAAAGACCCAGAGCUCUUUCACAUUACACAGUUAUAGAGCUAUGAUUUCAUUUUAACCGUCAUGAUUUCAUUCUAUAGGUUCCUGGGAGCUGCUGUUUAGGAAAGGUGUUUUGAAUUCGCCACAAAAGGACUGCAGUGUUUUUCCCAAAAUAGAAAUCCCAGGUGUCCACAGGAUGCAGCCACAGUGGUCAAUGGAAAACCAUAGGACUACUAUAAUUAUGGAGUGUUAAAAGGCCUUCGGAGGCUCAGGAUCUCUAAGAAUACUGGAUGUAUUUGAAAGUCAAUGUCCUUCAAUUGGGAGAAGAGACAACAUGACAACUUGUGGAUCAAUGUGCUUCAGCUUCCUGCCCAGAACCUCACAAUCCCACAUGAAAUCCUGAAAGCUGUGCCUUGCCAUGCCACUAGUUCCCGCCUGGACCAAAAGAAAGGGCAGGGAGUCCCCUACCACCACCAUAUGUUGGAGGGCUGGCAGAGGCCAUUCUAUUGCUGAAUCUUCCAGGGUCACCUGCAAAUUCCCUGAGGACCAACAUUGUUGCCCUUGUUCCUGUUCCUUGUCAUCACUGACAACAUAUCAAAGCUAUUGCAGGUGAUCUGAAGAAUUCCCUCACUAAUCCUAUUAAGUAGACUUAAGUACGCACCAACUCCCCGUUUAAAUGCCAUACAAGAUGCCUGUUGACUUUGCCUGUUAGAUACAUUCAUGAUCUUUCCUUCUUGCCUUUUUUCUUUUUCAUUCCCUAGGUCUAUGAAAGUCCACCUGAAGCUGACAAGCAUCUUUAGCUGAUAGUUUCUCUGAGGGUGCUAACAGAAUGGAUGGAGAGGCAGGGGUUACAAGGGCAUUCUAAUUUUAAAUGUCCUCUUAUUCCUUAAGGAUUUUUAUUUCACCUGCUUUCAGGCAGGGAAGGGAAGGGACAUCUUGAUUUGCACAAUACAGUGGAAUUAGUAUAAGCUAGGAAACCUACGAGAAAUUUACAUAACAGACUAUAUUGCUUCUCCUCUAGCUUUUUGAUUACAAUGAGUAAAUAUUAGACAGGGGUCAUAAAUUCUCAACCAGUACUAAACACACAUUUACCAUAUUUACCUGUUAAACAACAAGUGGCCUGAAGCAGACAAGUUAUUCGUUUUAUUUACACAAGCAGCUGACUAUACAUAGUACAUUCAAACUGCAGGAAUAAUAGAUCAUUUUAACUCUUGCAAUACCACAUUUAUCUGAUUACCAAAUGUACUGUACAUUGUACAAAUAACACGCUGCUUCUUCUUGAAAAGAAAGAGAAAUCAACAUUGGAUUCUUGAGCUUCAUUUUGGCUUGCUCACAGUUUCAGACCUUUAAACUAACUCAUUGACAGGGGUUUUCUAGUUAUUUCAUCCUUCUACCUCCACUUUCUUCCUGCCUCCACAAGGAAGAUUUUGGCAUCAGAGGCCCCAUCUACACUGAGCAUUUAAUACGGUUCAAAGCUAGCUUCAAUCUAUGGUGGACAGAAAACAAACUUCUACAAAAGCACAUGAAAGAAAGCCCUUAAUGUGCAUUGGUGUUCUGUGCUUUGUGUAAUCACUGCUCAGACCUCAAAUUGGUUUCAGGAUUUCUUAUGUAAUAAUAAUCUGCACAGUACCAGUUUAAAAGUGUAUUAAAUGGUCAGUGUAGUUGGGGGCUGAGUGUGGUUUCACAGGCUUGAUUUUGAUUUCAAAUAUCUGCCUGGGCUAGACUUCCCACCUUGUUCUUUGUCUAGCUGGGAGGGUUUUUUUAAAUAGUAGAAUUGUCAUUGAGAAGAUAGUGAAAGAAGAAUUGAAGAAGCACAUUAACUUUGGGGUUGGUUGCACAGUAAGCAAAACAAUAAACCUUGAGCAGUGAAGAGAUGCAAUUCUCCUCUAGUCAAUUCUACUACAGCAUGUGUGGCUGUUUACAGCAGGCAGUAUAAAAGGCAGCUGACUUCAGAAUCGCCCACUUUGUGUGUGGACUUCAAAACAGAGAGAAAAUAAACAAAGAAGACAAGCCUGGCUCACUAGUUACACUUAGCAUAUUUUAAAAACAUAGACUUUUAAAAAUGAAUCAUCAAAAGAUAAAUAGUAGAAAAAGAAAUCUUGUAAUUUAUUUAUUAAUUGGAUUUAUGUUCUGAUUUUCACCGAAGAUAUUUUUGUUUUGUUUUUUCAUGUCAGGAGCAACUUGAAAAACUGCAAGUUGCUUCUGGUGUAGGAGAAAUGGCAGUCUGCAAGGAUGUUGCCCAGGGGACACCCAGAUAUUUUGAUGUUUUAUUAUCCUUGUGGGAGGCUUCUCUCAUGUCAUGGAGAGCUGGAGCUGCUUUCCCCAGAUGUAACCCAUGCCUUUUGGAAGAAGCAUUCAUGUGUUCUCUAAAAAGAAAUUUAAAAAUUACAUAUGCAAUGCUUACCUGAACCUGUUGUUUUAUUUCACCUGUGCAUUGUUAGUUUUGAAUAAAAGAUUUGCCGUGACAUUUUGAUUUAUUCUUUUUAUGAUGCAGGAACCUAUUCUUAUUCCUUCCAUGUUAUUUUUACCUCUGAGACCAAAUUCUCUGUUGCAGCAGUAAUGUCCUGAAAUAUAUCUGCUUCAUGAAGUGAGGUACAUCUGGUCCUUGGGACUUACAUAAUUCUGAGAU